Molecule: ribosomal RNA, 490 nt
Filed under: uncultured bacterium
Lineage: Bacteria
Description: partial 16S ribosomal RNA
Rfam family: Bacterial small subunit ribosomal RNA
Source: RNAcentral
AUUGAACGCUGGCGGCAGGCCUAACGCAUGCAAGUCGAACGGUAACAGGAAGAAGCUUGCUUCUUUGCUGACGAGUGGCGGACGGGUGAGUAAUGUCUGGGAAACUGCCUGAUGGAGGGGGAUAACUACUGGAAACGGUAGCUAAUACCGCAUAAUGUCGCAAGACCAAAGAGGGGGACCUUCGGGCCUCUUGCCAUCGGAUGUGCCCAGAUGGGAUUAGCUAGUAGGUGGGGUAACGGCUCACCUAGGCGACGAUCCCUAGCUGGUCUGAGAGGAUGACCAGCCACACUGGAACUGAGACACGGUCCAGACUCCUACGGGAGGCAGCAGUGGGGAAUAUUGCACAAUGGGCGCAAGCCUGAUGCAGCUAUGCCGCGUGUAUGAAGAAGGCCUUCGGGUUGUAAAGUACUUUCAGCGGGGAGGAAGGGAGUAAAGUUAAUACCUUUGCUCAUUGACGUUACCCGCAGAAGAAGCACCGGCUAACUCCGUG